CCCAGACUCCUACGGGAGGCAGCAGUGGGGGAUAUUGCACAAUGGGGGGAACCCUGAUGCAGCGACGCCGCGUGGGUGAAGGAGCGUUUCGGCGCGUAAAGCCCUAUCGGCAGGGAAGAAGGAGGACGGUACCUGACUAAGAAGCCCCGGCUAACUACGUGCCAGCAGCCGCGGUAAUACGUAGGGGGCAAGCGUUAUCCGGAUUUACUGGGUGUAAAGGGGGCGCAGACGGCAGCGCAAGCCAGGAGUGAAAGCCCGGGGCCCAACCCCGGGACUGCUCUUGGAACUGCGCGGCUGGAGUGCAGGAGGGGCAGGCGGAAUUCCUGGUGUAGCGGUGAAAUGCGUAGAUAUCAGGAGGAACACCGGUGGCGAAGGCGGCCUGCUGGACUGCGACUGACGUUGAGGCCCGAAAGCGUGGGGAGCAAACAGGAUUAGAUACCCUUGUACGC
RNAcentral lists this ribosomal RNA (449 nucleotides) under uncultured bacterium. Its description in RNAcentral is "partial 16S ribosomal RNA". It matches the Rfam family "Bacterial small subunit ribosomal RNA", at positions 330 to 794 of the family's 1533-position model. The record is from RNAcentral.